RNAcentral lists this long non-coding RNA (16958 nucleotides) under Homo sapiens (human). RNAcentral's name for it is "non-protein coding lnc-IL2RG-5:1". The record is from RNAcentral. Lineage: Eukaryota; Metazoa; Chordata; Mammalia; Primates; Hominidae.
AGAUUGCUAGCGAGCCGUCAGAGCAGCUUGCCGCAGCUCAGGCGGGCUCCGCAGAAAGAUGGCGUUUGCUAUCAAGGUCACAUGGCCACUUUAGGGGACUAAAACGAAAUACUAGCUGAGAACAACAGGAACUGCCAGCACAGGAUCAGAUUUUCAGAAGCAGUCUCAAUUCUAAGUGUCUUUUUCUAAUUAGAAUCGUAAGCACAUUUUUUUGUAUUUGUCCGAACACAUGUCCUAAGUCAUCAAAACUAUGUGAAGGGGUGGAGUUUCACUGGGGGUCUUCUCUUUCCGGGAGCCUGAAAAGGAUGGGAGGAGGGUGGGGGAAACCCAAGGGCCAGGGUAACCGCAGAACCGGAAAGCAGCACGUGCCAGGACAGAAGGCACCCACUAGGGUCUCUGCACUGAGAGCAGUAUGGGAAACCGAUUCCACCAGGGACUGUGAAACUCACUAGAUCUGUUAGGCUGGUGCAAAAGUAAUGGCGGUUUUUGCCGUUAAAGGUAAUUGCAAAAACCGCCAUUACUUUUGCACCAACCUUCAGGUUCGGGUCUACGCAGCUUUGUCUAACCUCUGACCUCUCAUGAGUUGGGAAAGGUUACCCUGGCAAAAAAGGAUUUGCUUAGGUGCCCUAUACAUUGUACCAGAUAACUUCCUCUAUGAUUUUUUUUUUUUUUUUUGAGAUGGAGUUUUCACUCUUGUUGCCCAGGCUGGAGUGCAAUGGCACGAUCUCGGCUCCUUGCAACCUCCGCCUCCCGGGUUCAAGUGAUUCUGCUGCCUCAGCCUUCGAAGUAGCUGGGAUUACAGAUGAGCAAACAGACUCGGAGAUGUUAAACCCUUCAACCAAGGUCAUCCAGCUAGGAAGAGGCAGAGAUGGAUCUGAAUGCAGGUUUUCUGACCCUAUAGUCCAGUUAUUUCAACUUUCUACAUCUGAGCUGUUGGUUGGAAAAUUCCUUCUUGGAGACUGAAGCCACAGGGCUCAUCCUGGGGGCUGGGGAGAAGGGAGGAGAAGAUCUAAAGGUCAAACUCCUCUCCUUUCGUUCCCACUCCCUUCUCCUCCCCACUCCCUGUUUCCAAAAAGAAUUUCAGAAUGCAGUCUUGUUUUGUUGAAGAAUGCCCUGGCGUGAGAUGUCCUUGUAGAUAAGAAGGAAAAAUGUGGGGUGAAGACAGGACAGUUGGGUGUAUUCACAGCUGGUGACUAAUGGAUCUUUGUCAGCCUGGAGGGAGGUCCUUUGCCUAGCCAAUAAUUUAAUUAAUGACUUGGAUGAGGACAUUGAUGACGUGCUGAUCAAAUUUGCAAAUGACAUGAAGCUGGCUUCAGAAAGAUCCCAAGAGUCCAUAAUGAACCAGGAAGAUGAAAUGUAAAGUUUCAUAAUUAAGUUUUUAAAACCAAAUGCUUAAGUGCAAGGUAAGAGAGACAUGUGUGAAAAGGUUUUAAGUGUUUGGGGUGAUUGUAACCUCAUUAUUUUUGACACUAGCUGCCCCGAAUGCUAAUAUGUUAGGGUCUGGAAUGGGGGAGAUUACAGUUCUGCUUUCCUCUCUGCUCAUUAGACCACACUGGAUGACUGUCUUUAGCCUUGGAUUACCAUAUAUGAACAGGGAUGUUAGCAGCCUGGAGCGUGUACAAAAAGCAAGAGACCAGGAGUGUGGGAAGACUUGAAAAUCAUUGUGUAUGAAUGACUGGAGCUCUUUAACCUGGAGUGGGGAUCAACAGGGUGAUGAUGGUGGUUCAGGAUCCAGUUUUCAAAUACAGGUUCAAACUAUUGGGGUAGGGCAAGGUGAUUCACGCCUGUAGUUCCAGCACUUCAGGAGGCCAAGGUGGGAGGAUCACAAGAGCCCAGGAGUUGGAGACCAGCCUGGGCAACAUAGUGAGACCCCUUCUCUAGAAAAAUAUUUUUAAAAAAUUUUGGCUGGGUGUGAUGGCACACGCCUGUAAUCCCAGCACUUUGGAAGGCCGAGGUGGGUGGAUCACAAGGUCAAGAGAUCAAGACCAUCCUGGCCGACAUGACAAAACCCCGUCUCUACUAAAAAUACAAACAUUAGCCGCGUGUGGUGGUGUGUGCCUGUAGUCCCAGCUACUCGGGAGGCUGAGGCAGGAGAAUUGCCUGAACCCAGUAGGCGGAGCUUGCAGUGAGCCGAGAUCACACCACUGCACUCCAGCUUGGGUGACAGAGCAAAACUCCAUCUAAAAAUAAUAAUAAUUUUAAAAAAAUAAAAAAAAUUUAAAAAGAGAAAACAAUACAAGUAUUGGAAGAGUCCUCAUAUAGAAGGGGGAUUCACCUUGUUUUGCUUUGUAACAGCGUGCAAUCAGGAGCAAUGGGUGGGUACCGUGGGAAAGCUGAUUUUGAAUCAACAUAAGGUAGAACUUCAUAAUGGUUUGAGAUGCUAUAAUAUGCACUAGUCUUUUUGGGGAGGACAAGAAUUUCCUAUCAAUGGAAGUAUUUAAUAUUUAAGCAGAGGCAAAAUAACUACUUGGCAAAGAGAUUGCAGAAGGGAAUCAAGCACCAGAUCAUAAGGGAGGGGAACUAGGUAACCAUUAAGGCUGCUUUUUCUUUUUCCUCUUUUUUUUUUUUUUUUUUUUUGAGUCAAGGUCUCUCUAUGUCACCCAGGCUGGAGUGCAGUGGCUCGAUCACAGCUCACUGCAGUCCCGACCUCCUGGGUUCAAGUGAUUCUCCCACCUCAGCCUCCUGAAUAGCUGGGACCACAGGCAUGUACCACCACGCCUGGUUAAUUUUUUUGUUUUUUUUUUUUUUAGAGACAGAGUGUUCCUAUGUUGCCUAUGCUGGUCUCAAACACCUGGGCUCAAGAUCCUCCCACCUCGGCCUUCCAAAGUGCCGAGAUUAUAGGUGUGAGCCACCGCACCUAGCCUAAAGCUACUUCUGACACUAUAAUUUUGAAAUUCAAGUUGGGGGGGUGGUUGGAGGCGAAAAUAGUUUUAGCCCUCAGAGUAGGUACCUCUGAACUAGUUAUUAUCUCUGCUUCCAGUCUUUCCUCCUCUAAUUCACCUUGCACGUAGGCUCUAGAAAUAUUUUCUUGAAUACUCUACCAUGAGACCUUCCAGCUCAAGUAUGAUAGAAUCUCAGUAACCCUAAAGGUCAUCUGGUUCAGUCUUUUAUCAGAUGCUUUCAUUGUCUGCAUCAUCCACAUGGAGUCCCUGCUUGAAUAUUUCUGGUGAUGGAGAACUGCCUACUUUUAGGGGCAGUCCAUUUUAAUUGCAGAGAGUACUACUAAUACUAGAAAGUUCUUCCCAAACAUAGCAAAAUGCUUAUGUUUAGAUGUUGGGAUUAGGACAUUUUUCUUCUGUUUUUGAAACUGUUGGUAAUACAUUUUAAAGGACUUCAAGAGGCUGGAAUCAGGAGCUGAAACUUUUAUUAUAAUUUUUCAUCAUAAAAAAGGAAGGAAAAGGAGCAUCUUCCUCAUGUUGAACCCAAAUCUGCUUUCCUAUAAUUUCCAUCCAUUAGAUCUUGGAGCCCUGAAGUCACGCAGAACAAAUCUACUGUGAGCCCAGUAAUUACUCACUGACAGUAGACAAAUUUCUCCUGGGAUUCUUCAGUCUUCUCACUCUUCUCUGGAUAUACUUUUGUUAACAUCUCCCUUGAAGUCUGGUGCUCAUAACUGAACACUGGGCAUCAGAUGUGGUCUGAUCAGUGCAAAGUAGCACAAGAUGAUCACCUCCUUUGUUCUGAAAGUUGUACUCUUAGUAAUAUGGCCCAAGGUCACAAUACUUUUUACAGCAACCAAACCACACUUUCAACUCAUGAGCUUUCAUUCACUCUAAAAUGCCUCUAAGCCACAUCUCUCACAUCUUACAUUUGUACUGCCACAUUUUGAAGUUCAAAUAAGGGACUUUACCAACUUUGUGUAAUUCGCAAAUUUGAUCUAGUGACAUUAAAACAGAACUAUUUUGUAUGUAGUCAUUCAACCAGUUAAGAAUUCGCCUAGGUUUACCUUUACCCACCCCACAUGUAUACAUGUUUUCCCAAAAGCAUUGAGAGAAUGUUUGGUUGAACUCUAGAUACGCUGUGGGUGAUAACUUUUCCCUCCUCUACCUGUCCAGUCACUCUGUCAAGGGAAAUGAACCCAGUGGGGCAUGAUUUGUUUUUCCUGAAUCCAUGUGGGGACUGAGUGAUCGUCGCUUCCUUUUGUAAGUGCUCACCAACCAUCCUUUUAAUCAUUUGUCCUAGAAUCUUGCCCUCAAUCAAUAUCAAAUGUAUUGAUCUAUAAUUUGUGGAGUUUACCUUUUCCCAUCUGUCAAAGUGGGGCCAUGUUUACCCAUCUCUAGGCUGCAGCACGUAUCUCUUCCCUUCUUCAUGGGGUUUUCAGGGCCACCACCAGUUGUCCUGCAAUUUGAGCUGCAAGUCCUUAAGUGCCCUGGGAUGCUACUGACUCAGACAAUGAGAUGCAGUUACUCAAGGCAGCUUACGGCUCUCUUGAACUAGACUGCCUUCAGGAGUUUCUCUCUGGUGUUCACCUUGUCCUUUCUAGUCUGAAAAUCGUUUUCCUUGCAGAAGAGAAGGAGUGAAAGAGGAGCUGAGGAGGUUUUGUUUUUCCACCAUAAAACUAUUGGCAAAAGAGUUCAGUCAGGGUGUCCAGUUGCUCAAUCAAUAAUUGCCAAACUCUUCUGUUGUGAAGAUCUUCAUGAGCUGCCUUACCAAGCUAAUUUCCCACCAUUUUGGCCCAUCCCCUCAAGCACACCUAGACCUUCUCAUCUCCAUGAUUUGGCUGAGGUUUCCCUCCAAUUUGGAAUGCCCACUACUCUACCCACCCACCCCAAUCCCAUCAUAGCCUUUCUUACAGUUUCUCCAAUCCAUUUAACCUUUACCAUACAAUUGAAGCACAUGCAUUUCAUUCAUUGGAUUGUGGUUCCGUUUUGUCUUCCUGACAGUACACAACCCAAAAUAGGUGUCUUCUAUCCCCCACAGUAUGUAAACUAGCACAAGGCCAAGCCUACAGUCCUGAUAACCAUACUUCAAGCUAUGGAGAUUUCCACAGUGACCAACCUCUGACCCUUCACACACACUACAAAUUCAGAUCAUAUGAUAGCUGUGUCCAACUCCUUAAAGGACUAAAAUAGAAACCAGAUAAAUCUAGGGAUGUGGACUGACCGAAUCUAGGCACUAAUGCUUUUUGCAAUGUUAAAUAAAUCCAAGUAUAUCCUCAGCUUCACUUCAAACAAGGAGCUGGGCAUUUUAGCUGGACCCAGGGCUGGCCAUCAGCAACAGGGCUGAGAACCUGAGGCUACAGGGGCACAGAAUUGACUGUCAAUUAGAUUGAAAUCAUGCCUGUCUUGGAGGUCACCUCUUCCACCUAGACCUUUCAAAGGUGUGAAGACCAAUUGUAAUCUCUCACUGAUGGGUCCCUAAUAGGAUUGGAGCUGGUUUUGCUAUGGCGCCUUGAGUUCUUAGAGGAGAGGCAGUGUCUAAAUCUUCCCAAAAUAGAGAGCACUCCUAACUUGGAGGUACACUCCCCACUAAAGAACAGGAGGCCAGGUAUGGUCUCAAAUAGGAGGCCACGUAAUAUCUCAAAUGGAGCAAUCAAAGGAUGGAACAUAAGAACAAAGACUCUGAAUUGACCUCAAAAGGUCAAUUGGGAGGCCGAGGUGGGAGGAUUGCUUGAGCCCAGGAGUUUGAGACCAGCCUGGGCAACAUGGUGAAACCCCAUCUCUGUUAAAAAAAAAAAAAAAGUCAUAUAAUCUAGCUCUCUGCUUUCAGGAAGAUGAGAAAUACCAGUGCUUCCCUUAGUAGCCAUUCACUCAAUUUGGCAACUGCGAUUGAGAACUCACUAGGUGCUUGUGAUCAUUUCCUAUUCAUAGCAAAGUUAUUCCUUGUAUUUCACUUGAUCUCAUUUUCCCCUCUAUCAUUCUCAAAAGAAACGGAGAACAGGUCAUCAGCUCUGUCCUUAUUUAGGAGUUAAAUUUUGAAGAUGGGUAUAGCACACUUUUCACAUGGUAGGUGCCCUACAACCAUUGAAUGUUACCUCAUCAGCUUUUUCCUUUCUAGAUCUCACACACACACACACACACACACACACACGCAUGCACACACACACAGCACCUAGUCCCGUGGCAUUAUUUAUGCUCUUCUCCAGACCCUCUCUAGCUUUCCACUUUUGCUAAAAAUGUGUUGGCCAAGGGUAGACCCAUCAUGCUUUGAAAGGUAUGACCAAUGGCAGGUAGAGUGGAACGAGUUGAGUGGGACUAUGGCAAGGGUCGUGUAGUGCUGGGUGGCAUUCUAGGUCUGUUUCUAAUACUAACUGUGACGGGCUUUUCUGGGCCCAUUUCCUCAACUAUAAAAUAAAUGGGUUGGACUAGAUGACUCUCGGGUGACUUCUGGUUCUAAAACUCACACUUGGAUGACUUCUCAGAUCCUCCAUGCUGUGUUUUUGUUACUAUAUGCAGGAUCCACAUUAGUUUUGGAAAAAAGAAAGGAAAGAAGGGUGUGAGGAAAGGAGGGGGAAAAACCAGUUUUACACCAUGGACUCACUUGUGAUGUACCCUUACACCAUCUCCCCAGUUCUUCUUCUUUUUAACUAUACUUGUGUCAAGUCAAUCACUGCCCAUCUCCAGUGUACCAUAUUAGUGUAUUAGUUCUAGGUUUUGGUCUUUGUACACACUACCUGUGUUCGUCCUCUCUGAACAUGGUCCUCCUUGUGAUGGUUCAUCUCCCUCAUUUUAUCAGGGUCAUUUGAAGAAUUCUAUUCCUGCUUUCUGAGGUAUCAGCAACCCCACCCAACUAUCAUACUUGCCGAGCACACUCCCAGUUCAGUCUUUCAAGUCACUGAGAAUAAUAUGAAAUCCCAUAAUGCUAACCCUGUGAGGCCCCACUGAAUCCAUGCCCCAGGGUUGAUAGGGAGUCACUGAUCACAAUCCUGUAGAAAAAUCGCUCCCAGGGCCCCAAGGACUUCUCCAGUUCUAAUUCACAGAGCAGCAAACAAGUAUCCCUGGGGAAGGAGAGGGCCUCUGCUCUGUCAGUCACUCAAGGCCAGGGAGUCCACGUCUGACGCUGCACUGGAUUCAGAUAGGAGAAAGAAUUUCAGCACGUUAGAGGUCAAACCUCCUCCCAGCCCCCAGUCCAAGGUGAGGGCAGGGUGGUUGCAGCAGAGGAGGAGGAGGAGAAGUAAGAGGAGGAGGAGGCCGCAGCGGUGCAGAGAAGGAAGGAAGUAUUUUUGCCAUUUCAUUAGGAGGCCUGAAGUGCUGAGAGGAGGCUUCAGCUGCAGGAACCCAGCGCGCUGGGGGCAGGGGGAUGGGAAGAGCAACCUGAUUAAGAUUGGAGAGGCCUUCAUGCAGGGGCCCCCAACCCCCAACCCCCAACCCCCAACCCCCAACCCCGCACAGUGCAGCCCAGACUCAGCUUAAAGAUACAGGAGGCAGGGGGAGGCUGCCUGAUUGCCUGAUUCCCAGCCCGCAGAGGCACCCUGUUCGGAGGUCUGUUGGGGCAAGGCCUGUGCAAGGGAGGCAGGUUGGGAGUGCUAACUGGAUUUUUUAUUUUUAUAUCAAGACACUGUGUUUAAAAUUUUUACAAAGGACAAACUCCAUGGGUUUCCGUUAGUGUUUUAAGAACUUUUCUUUAAAAAAAAAAAAAAACCAACAACAACAAAAAACACCGCCUUUUUGAAAGAGAAAUGACAGACACAAAAGACUGUAAAGAAAAUGGGGCGAAUUUCUGAUAGCAUUUCCCCAAGGGCAGAGGCAAAACCCAGAUCAGACCUGGGGGCCCAAUAGUGAUGUGGCUUCCAUAGUACGUUGUUCACCAAAUCUAAGGUCACCUGGUCUGGCCAGGCCAAUGCUGUUGGCCUUUGGGGAAGCAGGUCACCCUGCAGGCUCUGCAGCCCUCCACACGGACACAGAGAGAGUUGGAGAUCUCUCCCCUACGACCCUCCAGCUCCAUCCAGUGCUAGCCCCUUUCUCCUUCCACCCCAUGGUCUUGCUUAAAUCUGUUUCCUUCCUGGGGGUCUUGUUCCUUGGUCUGAUUGUGUGAGCACUGGGGGUCCUAGAGCCAGAGAGACCUUCGGGCCUGAAGCCCUCCCUUCCAGAGGCUCUUAGCACUCAUGGGUUGGAAAAGCAUUUGUUCCAAAAUUAAAAAAGAAAAAUCAACAAAACAAGACCCAGAAAAAAGACCAAGUCCUGGGGAGGAAGAGCUAUCCUGCUCUUUAAAGCUCCCAAGUCUGGAGUUGGUCGGUGGUGCAGUUCCAAGAGAGGCCGAAGGCGAGCACCAAGGGGGUGUCCAGCUGUUGCUUUCAGGCCCCCCAGGAGUGUCUGUGGUCAGAUUCAGGGAGCUGGCUUCAGCUGCUGUUUCAUGGGUCCUCGGUUUACCGAGGACUCAUCUGCGUCCCCAUUUAAAGGGUUUGUUCAGGUUUACUUCCGUAUUUGUGUUUUUGUACAUGCGGGUGCAUGUCCACAUCUGUCUAUGUUUGUGCAGGUGGAUCUGCUGUAGGGUGUGGGUGCGUGCGUAUACAUAUAUGUGUGUGUGUGUGUGUGUCUGCGUGUGUGUGUGUGUGUGUGUGCAUGUGUUCCUGGAUCUGGGAGGGAGGGAGCCUGGAGAUUGGCUGUGCUCUGAGUUGGAGCUAUACCCGGGUAGUGGAGUGUGAGUGGGGCAGCCCGGUACUGUUGAACCCUGCGGCAAAGGUGUUAUAGGGGUGCAAUGUCUGCAGCCCUACCAGGGAGUUGGGGAUCAUAGUGAUGGUGUUGGGGGUCAUGAGUGGGAUGUCAUCCGGGGAGCGCCGCAGGGUCAGGGUGUAGUCGGGCAAUGCAGUGAGGCGCAGCGUGUCAUGGGGGGGACCGGCCUCACACUCGUGGUGGGUGGGGCCCAGUUGUAAUGCUGCCAGCUCCUCCUCUGGAGCAGCUCCCAACUCCGGGGCCCCGGCUCCCCGCUGAGGGCUAGGCUGCCGCAGGGGCUCCUGGCGCCGUUUGUCCUUACGGUAGUAGAGGGCAGCGAAGGCCAGAACGUUAAGGAACAGGAGGGAGGCCCCCACGGCGAUGGUGACACUUAAUUCAGUGGAGUAGUCACGAGGGUUCUCCACCAGGAGUGGCCCUGCAUCCUGGUCCCCGUUCCAGGACCCCUGGGCAUUCUCGUUGCUGUAGGCAGGUGAGAUGGCUGGCCGCUUGGUGCUCCAGGUCUUGCCAUUGGGCCUGCGGGUGAUGUGGGAGCUGUGGGUGGUAUCCGGAGGCGGCACUUUGGUGGUGGUGGACGUAUAGUGGAACAUGUCAUGCAGGUUGUAUAGGUGGGGCACCAGAUGUUUCCAAAAGGCCACCUUAGUGGCCCGGUAAUGAUCUCGGACCCUUGGUUUCAGCCCGAUGUGAAGGUAGAGCUGGUCUCGGGGAUUGUAUUUGGACCAGGCCACUUCCUCAAAGCGGUUGGCCUUGGUGUGAAUGAACUUGGUGUCCUGGGGGACCGGCUUGUUGGGAUCCCUGAAAUACCACAUGGAAAUCUGGGGUCACCACUCUAUCUGGAUGAGGAAAAGGCCCAGCAUUUUUCCUCUGACAGCCAAACCUCUUUCCCAGUUUAGAACUUCCCACCAUUUCCAUCUUUUUCAGGGUCCCCUGCUCUGCCCACACCUGCUUCUUCCCCAGGGCUUGAACUCCUAUAUCCUCCUUCCCGGCGCUCAUCCUUUAAGAUUAAGGCUAUAGAUGCUUUUUCUUUGCACAUGCUACUGAGCAUUUAUCAAUCUUUUCAGCUGCCCAAUUUUGCCAGGAGCCCCCUAAUAAAGCCUCUUUCUUUUAUUAAGCAAGCAGAAGUUGCUGAACCCGAAGUCUCUUUUUCUUUCUUUCUUUCUUUCUCUUUCUUUUCUUUCUCUUUCUUUCUUUCUUUCUUUCUUUCUUUCUUUCUUUCUUUCUUUCUUUUUUUUUUCUCUUUCUUUCUUUCUCUCUCUUUCUUUCUUUCUUCCCUUUUUCUUUCUCUCUCUCUCUUUCUUUCUCUCUUUUUUUUUCUUUUUUUUUUUUUGAGACAGAGUCUCGCUCUGUCGCACAGGCUGGAGUGCGGUGGGGCAACCUCGGCUCACUGCAACCUCUGCCUCCUGGGUUCAAGCAAUUCUCCUGCCUAGGUAGCCGGGACUACAGGCACCCGCCACCACGCCUGGCAAAUUUUUUGUAUUAUAGUAGAGACGGUGUUUCACCAUGUUGGCCAGGCUGGUUUCGAACUCCUGAGCUCAGGCAAUCCACCUGCCUUGGCCUCCCAAAGUGCUGGGAUUACAGGCAUAAGCCUCCGCGCCUGGCCCUGAAGGCUCUUUCUGAAGCACUGCAUUCCUAUUUCACAUAGCCUGUGACCAGCUAACCUUGAAUCCCAUAGUGUGUGUGUGUAUAUGUGUGUGUGUGUGUGUGUUUAAGAUAAGGUUUCGCUCUGUCACCCAGGCUAGAGUACAGUGGCGUGAUCACAGCUCAGUGUAGCCUCACCCUCCGGGGCUCAAGCGAUCCUCCCACCUCAGCCUCCCAAAUACCUGGGACUACAGGCAUGCACUACCAUGCCUGGCUAAUGCUUUUUCUUUUAGAGACAGGGUCUUUCUAUGUUGCCGUGGCUGGUCUUGAACUCCUGGGCUCAAGUGAUCUGCCUGCCUUUGCCUCCCAAAGUGCUGGGAUUACAGCCGUGAGCCACUGGGCCUGGCUAAAUCCCAUAGUUCUUCCAGUAACCCUCAUUCCUUCCUAGUCCCGAUGCUAACUGAGUUCUAAGCCUCAACAACAUUUUUGAAGGAAGGAAAAAUGGCAUGAAAGACUCAGGAAGGGGAGAUAGGAAGAUGAGUGAAGGGGUACCAAGCAAGAUUUUGGGAAUAUCUUAGGAAGGGAUAUGAUGGAAGAGGUUUAGCUAGAGGAGCAGAGGGGAGGGCAUGCUGGGGUCUCAAAGAGGAAAAAAACCCUAUUUUCUCCUUACCCAGUCUUGGCAAAGUUGGUCCAAUAGGUCAUGACGACAGCACUGAGCAUAACAUCAUUCUUGGAGAAGUUGCAGGGGAAAAGGUCAGUGGGGCCUACCAUAGGAACCCCAAAAACAUAGGGUACUUCAUCCCCAUGAGCUGCAUCUGACCAAGCAGGCUUCAUGAGGCUCUGGCAGUGAUGAUAGAAGGCGUAGAAGUAGGUAGGCGAGCCGUAGCGGGCAUGCAGAUCGGCUGUCACCACUGAGGGCUCCACCCACUGGUGGUCAGUGAAGAGUGCCACCAGUGUUUUACGGCGGGUCUCAGGGUUGUCACGGUCUGCCCAGUCUGUAUACAUGAACUUGAUGGUCUCUCGCAGGGUGUCCUUACCCUCAGGAUAGCCAUACAGAUUGUCCACAAAAUUGGAGACGGAAUAGUCAAAGUCAGUGCCAGAGACACCAUCCUCAGGGUCCACCACCCCUUCCACAAACUUGAGACCCUCGCCCUGGUUGACACCUAGCAUGAUGUCAUAGUUGAGGAACUCGCCCUGCUCCAUGAGGAUCUCAGGGUCAUCAGGAAUGACAUCACCAUCAAUCACAGGGCCAAAGGCCACGUGGUAGCGGGCUGGCUGGAUGUCCUGCUCUACCAGCUCCUUGGCACUCUUUUGCCGAAGACAGUCCACCAUAUCCACGGUGUCCAGCACAUUACAGCCCACUUUGUCUGCCAGCAGGCUGGUGUACUUCACUGGUUGGUAGUUCACAGCCCAGCUGGACAGAGCAGAGCCACUUUGGAUGAUGGCUCUCUGGAAAAGUCCUACAGAAGACAGGUAGCACCAGGUCAGAUCUGUCGUGUCACACAUAGCCAUAAAUCUCUUCAUUCCUUUGUCACUGAGGCUGCCCCAUGGUUUAAAUGGGCUAGGAAGGGGGAACAACUCUUUUGGCAGGGGAUGAUGUAGGGCCAAAGGAGGGGUUGCUGAACCCCUUCCUUGAUGGCUUCCACCAUCCCUUCCCUGUCCUGGUGCGAUGGCUGGUAACUUAGGGGUUAAGGCAAUGUCAGGAAGAAUUAACCCCUUGAAUCCCAGACAUCAGCCCCCUUAUGCCGCCUCUCUUUAUCUCUCCUUGUCUUCCCCUCUUGCUUCCUGCCCAGCUGGGCCCAGCUCCGUGCCAGCGCACCACCAGGGAGCUGGCACUUGCACCACAAAGGAGUCUUUUUCAUGAGAGAUGAGAAAUGCAGGCAGGCAAGAGCCCCACAUUCUGAGGGCUUGGGGAAGGAGCCCAAGGGCAAAGGCCUUCGGGUCUGAAAGUCUCCAGGGAACCUGUGCUCCCCGUCUGUGGUCUCCACUGAUACUUUGUUUUUUUUUUUUUUUGGAGAUGGAGUUUUGCUCUUGUUGCCCAGGCUGGAGUGCAAUGGUGGGAUCUCGGCUAACUGCAACCUCUGCCUCCCAGGUUCAAGCGUUUCUCUUGCCUCAGCCUCCCGAGUAGCUGGGAUUACAGGCACCCGCCACCACGCCCGGCUAAUUUUGUAUUUUUAGUAGAGACGGGGUUUCACCAUGUUGGUCAGGCUGGUCUUGAACUUCCGACUUCAGGUGAUCCACCCGCCUUGGCCUCCCAAAGUACUGGGGUUACAGGCGUGAGCCACCGCGCCUGGCAGAGACUUUCCUUUUAUCUGAAGCUACCGAUACUUCAAAUUCAGAUUUUCCCCUAGCAGAGAGGGAGCCAGUCCCCCAAACUCAAAAAGAAAAUAAUUUUCCCCUCUAGAAAAAAAAAAAGGAUAUCAUUCUCUCCCUGGCCCCAACAUUCCCAAGGGAGAAUUUGUCCCUCAGGCACAUAAUUCCAUUCCUUUAAGAGAAAGCCAGUUUGCAUGAGUGGAAAGAGAGGGAAAGAAAUGAUAGAUUACUACUUAAAAGACAGCCUCAUUUUCCCAAAGAUUAUUCUCCAUGCAUCAAUUACAGAAAAACAGAGAGAACAGAUCUUUAAAGAAGUCAAACCUCGGCCAGGCACAGUGGCUCACGCCUGUAAUCCCAGCACUUUGGGAGGCCGAGGUAGGCAGAUCGCUUGAGCUCAGGAGUUUGAGACCAGCCUGGGCAACAUGGCGAAAACCUGUCUCUACAAAAAAAAAUUUAUCCCCAAAAUUAGCCGGGCAUGGUAGCAUGCACCUGUAGUCCCCAGCUACUCUGGGGGCUGAGGCAGGAGGAUCACUUGAGCCUGGGAGGAACAGGUUGCAGUGAGCUGUGAUCACACCACUGCACUGGGGGACAGAGCCUGGGGAACAGAGCGAGAUCUUGUCUCAAAGAAAAAAAAAAAGUCAAACCUCCAGAGACACAGGCCCCCUAUGAGACAAAGCAUAGCACCACUCCAGGAAAGGCUUUCUUCUCCUAGGGGAGGAGUCCCCAGUCAGAGGAGGCACAGAACGUCUUUUCAGGCCAAGGCACCCUUGCAGCCCGUCAUUUCGCCCUCCUUUGGGGAAAAAGGGAAGAUUCCUGUUCCCACUAUGGUCACCUAGGAACACAGUCUCUCUCUUUAGAGAGGCAGAUCCCACCUAAGUCUUCCCUCACCAGGGUAGUCCCUGGAGGGGCAAAGACAGAAUUUCUAGGUCAAAGAAGGUGGUUCUUCUCUCUCAGAGAGACAGAACUUCUUCAAGAGAUGGAAAGUCUUCCUGUGAGAAUGUCCCUAACUCAGGGGGUUAGUGUUCAAUUAAAAAAGAAAAAAAGCAUCCUCGCUCACAGAUUUCCUUACUUCAGAAAAGGGCACCUAUUUCAGGAAGAUCUUUUCUUCAUGAGAAGCUCAGCUUUGCCUCUCAGAGAUAGAAUGUUCCCAGUAGUCCAGAGGUGGAGAAAACAUUUCCUGCCGAGCAAAAAGGACCUAUUCUGCUCUCUUGGAAGGGUCACUGGCAAAGGGACCCACCACAAGGAGAGAGGCCAAAAAUGAGAAUCUCCCCGGCAGCUUGCACAGUCGGGGAGAGGUCUGGAGUCUGAUAAUAGACCAUCGUCCUAUGGAAGAAGCCCACCUCGUGGGUUAGUGACUCUCAUUUCAGACCCACUUCCCCCUCUAGGAUGUUUCCCCUCUUGUACAGACUUGUUCUUCAGAGAGAAAGGCAGAGAAUGGAUGUUUCUUAGACCUAGAAACCAAUUUCCACCCUAUAUCUCUACUGUGAAGUAACAUGUCCUUCCCAUACUGAAAGAUCCUCCCCAACCCCUGUCAAACUAUUGUCCUCUGAGGGGACAAUUGUUCUAUUCCCACUCCCCAAAAUAAGACUCCCACAUCAGAAGGAGAAUCUUGCUUUCCCAGGACAUAAAUGGGAUUCUCUUCCUUCCCUCUCCAGCUUUGGGAGAAGUACUUCUCCCAGAGAAACAUUUCUCUUCCACUUCUUGCCAAAGGGAUACCAAGCUGGUAGAAGAGAGCUGGCCGAUUCCCUUGGAUGCCCUGGGGCAUGGAUGGGGCAUGCUGGGACAGCCGGCACUUGGCUAGUUCAUGUUUUGCCCCACGAGUUACUCACCCUCUGAGUGAUGUGACAACGUGAGGAGGCUGACGCAGGAUGCACCAAUGCCCGAGCCAAAGACAGUGAUCCGGCGGGGGUCUCCCCCGAAGAAGGCAAUAUUCUCGCUCACCCAGCGGAGGGCCUGGAUCUGGUCAAGGAGCCCAUAGUUGCCCUUGGCAGCCUGAUCUCCAGUACUCAGGAAACCUGGAUUCAACAAAGGGCAUGAAGACAAUGAAGGCAGAGGGAUGGAGGAUUUGGGUGAUGACGGCAGGCAGGGUCAACAGGGGAGGUGGGAAUAGAGAAUGAGCACGCAGUGUAGUUCUUCCCACAUAGUUAACUUAAAGCAGUGCUCCUUUCUGCAAUGUCCAGCAUCGUCAACAGAGGAGGGGUCAGCUCCCUGCCUCCCACCUGUUAUCCAGCUUGGAAGGAGGGGUCUGCAGACCAUUUGAAGUGCAUGCCUCCAGGUGGGAGACAAACUGCAGAAACUGCAAAUGUCCAGAACUCAGCAUUCUCUGCCCUGAUGUACUAUUGGGGACCUUACCCUAACAUCUGGCAAGAUAGAAUGGAAACCCUGGAGUCAGACGGUCCUUGAUUUGAAUCCUGGCUCUAUCACAUCUUAGUCAUGUAGCCUUGGGCACUUAAUUUAAAAUCUCUGGGCCAUAGUGUCCUCUUCUGUAAAAUGGGGAUAAAAAUACCUCACAGGGUUGUAACAAGGAUAAAAUGAACAUAAGCAUCUAUAACAUGCUGGGCACAUUGCAGCUCUAUAGUUACUUCUCUUUCCCCUUUCUUCUCUCUCCAAAGGAAGUGUAGAUGAUCCCAAGAGGCAACAAUCCCUAAGCUCUCCUUGCCCUUCCUGUUCAAAUCAGUCCCUCUCCACUUCCUUCCGGGGCCUUGAUGGCCCCCUUCCCCUCAUUUUCAGGGCAGGUCCUCAUUUCCCUCCCUUGGAGGCCUAAGGAAUCAGAAACUCUGGGGUGGGGCCCAGCAAUCUGUGUUUUUAACAAGCUCUCCAGGUGAUGCUGAUACCUGCCAAAGUUGAGAAACCACUGGGUCAGACCAUCUUUUUCAUCUGGUGGAGAAAUGGGGAAGUAGCGCAGUGCGUUACCACAGAAACAGGUCUUCCCGCCCCCCCACUGGAAUUUGCUGCUGAGGAGACAUGUCACCAUGGAGACUACCUUCCCACCCACCUGCUGGGAUUUGCUGCUGUGGAGACUUGUUGCCAUGGAGACUACCUUCCUGCCCACCUGCUGGCUAUCCCACAGAGAUGUCCUAUAUUCCCCCCUACUCUGCUUCCAUUUUAGACUGAGCCUGCGGCCUUAUUUCAUCUCUCUUCCCUGAAUCCUUGGGUCCCUUGGAAGGCUCUGUCUUCUCCUGCCCUAGGCUUUUGGAAGAAGUCUUUGGAGGUGGGUAAUUGUGAAGCUCCUACACAUUGGAAACCCACACUUGGAUCAGUAUUUUUUACUCCCCAGUUAAAAGCUCAUUCACAGCACCUGGAAUCAACUUUGUGAGAGGCCAUGUUGGAGAAGACUCCCAGAGCUCAUGGGGAGUUCUCUGGCGUCCUUGCAGUCCAUAGGCAGAGGCUGAAUUCAAAUAGACUCAAACAGUCACAAGACCUCACCACUGUCUUUCUCAAGUCCUUCUGUACCUAGCUUCUGCAAAAGAGCUCAUCUCAUCCUCUUCAAGUGUGUUAUUAAUUUACCUCUGGUACAAUUAAGUAUGUAAAGUACUUAGUUAUUUCUCCCGGGCCCUAGUCACAAGUCCUCUUUAGCCCCAGGUUCCAGAGGAGGAAAUGAGAAUGAAUUAGAGAAAGCCUGCAUGAGGAUGAAGAAGGAACCCUUGCUCUUCCAGACAAGGAAAUCAGCUUUUCCUUUGCGUGGCCCAUUCAGAAAUUGAAGCUGCUCCUUUGAGUCUUAAAAACUUGGCCAGGCAUGGUGGCUCACACCUGUAAUCCCAGCACUUUAGGAGGCUGAGGUGGGAGGAUCACUUGAGGUCAGAAGUUUGAGACCAACCUGGCCAGUGUAGCAAGACCCUGUCCCUUUUUGUUUUUAAAACAAAACAAAUUAGCCAGUUGUGGUGGUGCAUGCCUGUGGUCCCAGCCACUCAGGAGGCUGGGGCUGGAGGAUCACUUGAGCCUAGGUGUGAAGGCUGCAGUGAGCUGUUAUUACCCCACUGCACUCCAGCCUGGGGGACAGAAUGAGACUCCAUCUCUAAAAAAGCAACCAAAAAAAAAAAAUCCCUCAAAACCCCAACUCUGUUGACCAUGAUCCAACCCAGCUGCCCAAGCCUUGGGACCCUCUGGCAGAAAUCACUGUCCUUCUUUUAGUCCUCCCUCCUCUCUCCUUCCCCUGUAUUCUCUUUUCCUUUUCUUUCAUUUAGGCAAUAGUGGUCUUGGCUUCAGCCUUUGCCAAGGCAUCAUUUACUGAAAUGUGUCAAACAUGCCUGGCCUAAUCAGCAGGCAAAGCCUGCAUUUGGAUGUAGUAGAGCAGAUUUCUCCAAUGUACCAAUUUCCUGGGUUAGGAACAAAGGCCUGAAAGGGCUGGAUGGAGGAUUUAUUUAUUAUUUAUUUAUUUUUUUUUAGAAGGAGUUUCACUCUUGUCGCCCAGGCUGGAAUGCAAUGGCAUGAUCUCGGCUCGCUGCAACCUCCGCCUCCCAG